This 73-nucleotide transfer RNA is filed under the name Caballeronia novacaledonica. Its description in RNAcentral is "Burkholderia novacaledonica tRNA-Sec". The record is from RNAcentral. Lineage: Bacteria; Pseudomonadati; Pseudomonadota; Betaproteobacteria; Burkholderiales; Burkholderiaceae.
GCGUCGCGUGGCGCAACGCGGCAUCGUUUCAGUCGAUGUUCAGCGCGUGCCCGAACGUUUCCGGUUCGGCGCA